AUUGAACGCUGGCGGCAGGCCUAACACAUGCAAGUCGAGCGGAUGAAGGGAGCCUGCUCCUGGAUUCAGCGGCGGACGGGUGAGUAAUGCCUAGGAAUCUGCCUGGUAGUGGGGGAUAACGUCCGGAAACGGGCGCUAAUACCGCAUACGUCCUGAGGGAGAAAGUGGGGGGUCUUCGGACCUCACGCUAUCAGAUGAGCCUAGGUCGGAUUAGCUAGUUGGUGGGGUAAAGGCCUACCAAGGCGACGAUCCGUAACUGGUCUGAGAGGAUGAUCAGUCACACUGGAACUGAGACACGGUCCAGACUCCUACGGGAGGCAGCAGUGGGGAAUAUUGGACAAUGGGCGAAAGCCUGAUCCAGCCAUGCCGCGUGUGUGAAGAAGGUCUUCGGAUUGUAAAGCACUUUAAGUUGGGAGGAAGGGCAGUAAGUUAAUACCUUGCUGUUUUGACGUUACCAACAGAAUAAGCACCGGCUAACUUCGUG
This 484-nucleotide ribosomal RNA is filed under the name uncultured bacterium. RNAcentral's name for it is "partial 16S ribosomal RNA". It matches the Rfam family "Bacterial small subunit ribosomal RNA", at positions 30 to 507 of the family's 1533-position model. The record is from RNAcentral.